This 460-nucleotide ribosomal RNA is filed under the name uncultured bacterium. RNAcentral describes it as "partial 16S ribosomal RNA". It matches the Rfam family "Bacterial small subunit ribosomal RNA", at positions 338 to 795 of the family's 1533-position model. The record is from RNAcentral.
CCUACGGGUGGCAGCAGUGAGGAAUAUUGGACAAUGGACGAGAGUCUGAACCAGCCAAGUAGCGUGAAGGAUGACUGCCCUAUGGGUUGUAAACUUCUUUUAUAUGGGAAUAAAAUGUUCCACGUGUGGGAUUUUGUAUGUACCAUAUGAAUAAGGAUCGGCUAACUCCGUGCCAGCAGCCGCGGUAAUACGGCGGAUCCGAGCGUUAUCCGGCUUUAUUGGGUUUAAAGGGAGCGUAGGUGGAUUGUUAAGUCAGUUGUGAAAGUUUGCGGCUCAACCGUAAAAUUGCAGUUGAAACUGGCAGUCUUGAGUACAGUAGAGGUGGGCGGAAUUCGUGGUGUAGCGGUGAAAUGCUUAGAUAUCACGAAGAACUCCGAUUGCGAAGGCAGUUCACUGGACUGCAACUGACACUGAGGCUCGAAAGUGUGGGUAUCAAACAGGAUUAGAUACCCCUGUAGUC